UACGUAGGUUGCGAGCGUUAUUCGGAUUUACUGGGCGUAAAGAGCACCGAGGUGGCUUCUUAAGUUGGAUGUGAAAUCUCCUGGCUUAACCGGGAGGCGCCAUUCAAAACUGGGGAGCUUGAGGUCAGCAGGGGAAGGUGGAAUUCCCGGUGUAGUGGUGGAAUGCGUAGAGAUCGGGAGGAACACCAGUGGCGAAAGCGACCUUCUGGGCUGCACCUGACACUCUAGUGCGAAAGCGUGGGGAACAAACAGG
Molecule: ribosomal RNA, 253 nt
Filed under: uncultured bacterium
Lineage: Bacteria
Description: partial 16S ribosomal RNA
Rfam family: Bacterial small subunit ribosomal RNA
Source: RNAcentral